UUAAACUGAAGAGUUUGAUCAUGGCUCAGAUUGAACGCUGGCGGCAGGCUUAACACAUGCAAGUCGAGCGGUAACAG
This 77-nucleotide ribosomal RNA is filed under the name Marinobacter flavimaris. Its description in RNAcentral is "partial 16S ribosomal RNA". It matches the Rfam family "Bacterial small subunit ribosomal RNA", at positions 1 to 75 of the family's 1533-position model. Lineage: Bacteria; Pseudomonadati; Pseudomonadota; Gammaproteobacteria; Pseudomonadales; Marinobacteraceae. The record is from RNAcentral.